UACAGAGGGUGCGAGCGUUAAUCGGAAUUACUGGGCGUAAAGCGCGCGUAGGCGGCUUUGUAAGUCGGUUGUGAAAUCCCCGGGCUUAACCUGGGAACUGCAUCCGAGACUGCAUGGCUAGAGUAUGGGAGAGGGAAGUGGAAUUUCAGGUGUAGCGGUGAAAUGCGCAGAUAUCAGGAGGAACACCGGUGGCGAAGGCGGAUCUCUGGGCCGAUACUGACGCUGAGGAGCGAAAGCGUGGGGAGCGAACAGG
RNAcentral lists this ribosomal RNA (253 nucleotides) under uncultured bacterium. RNAcentral's name for it is "partial 16S ribosomal RNA". It matches the Rfam family "Bacterial small subunit ribosomal RNA", at positions 524 to 776 of the family's 1533-position model. The record is from RNAcentral.